This is a long non-coding RNA of Lolium rigidum, 766 nucleotides long. RefSeq lists it as uncharacterized. NCBI's taxonomy places the organism in Eukaryota, Viridiplantae, Streptophyta, Magnoliopsida, Poales, Poaceae. The record is from RefSeq and is a predicted model, not a curated record. The transcript is spliced from 3 exons.
GCGGCGGCGGCCCGACCCCGUCUCCUCCAAUCCUCCCGAUCUUGCCGUGGGCAGAUCUGCCUAAUUUGUUGGCGAGCCACGAUGGGUGCACGGCCCAACCACUUCCUCGUCCCGUCGAUUGCUCUCUCUUAUCAGCAUCCUUGGCGCUGCCCUUCCCCGCGAAGAAGCAGAUCGACGGGAGCUCUUGGAUGGCUCGCUCGGUUCACUUGCCGCCUCUUGUGCUGGCACGCUCGGCGAUGCAGCUCCACGGUGCAGGCGUAGCGUUUUUCUGGCCGAGCCGAGCCGCACCGAUGUAGGCUCUCUGAUACGGCUUCACCCGAGCUCCAACGGUGCAGCAGCAGCGGCAAAACAAGACGGAUCAGGCGCAUCCAUGCUCUGGAGCCCGGAGCUGGCGUUCUGCGUCGCCCUUCGAGAACCGCUGGUGAGGCUGUAGCGCCUCAUGUUCGACUUUUAGAGGUCGCGUGGCCGCACGACCGACUCGACGGUGUGCUCUACAGCGAAUGAAUUAUCAUGCUGAGUUUGUGUUGCGGCAGCUACUCUACCAAGUAGCUUGAUGUUUAAUGUAACAGUAAAUUCCAUCUCAUUACACAUGAACAUUCUAGUUACAUUUUGUAAACCUGAUGUAUUUGGUAAUCAUGCUGAGAAUAGAUGAACAAUUUGUAUGUGCGUGAAGUAGUACAUGAUAUUAUUCUUUAGUGGUGGGUUAAUGUAUUCCUUGAUAUUUUUGGAUAUUAUUUAUCCACGUGUUCAUAAAUUGAAACUAAUG